UACGAAGGGGGCUAGCGUUGUUCGGAAUUACUGGGCGUAAAGGGCGCGUAGGCGGCUUGAUAAGUUGGAUGUGAAAGCCCAGGGCUCAACCCUGGAACAGCAUUCAAGACUAUCUUGCUUGAAUUCGGUAGAGGUUGGUGGAAUUCCCAGUGUAGAGGUGAAAUUCGUAGAGAUUGGGAAGAAUAUCCGUGGCGAAGGCGGCCAACUGGACCGACAUUGACGCUGAGGCGCGAAAGCGUGGGGAGCAAACAGG
This 253-nucleotide ribosomal RNA is filed under the name uncultured bacterium. RNAcentral's name for it is "partial 16S ribosomal RNA". It matches the Rfam family "Bacterial small subunit ribosomal RNA", at positions 524 to 776 of the family's 1533-position model. The record is from RNAcentral.